Molecule: ribosomal RNA, 515 nt
Filed under: uncultured bacterium
Lineage: Bacteria
Description: partial 16S ribosomal RNA
Rfam family: Bacterial small subunit ribosomal RNA
Source: RNAcentral
GAUGAACGCUGGCGGCGUGCCUAAUACAUGCAAGUCGAGCGAAUGGAUUAAGAGCUUGCUCUUAUGAAGUUAGCGGCGGACGGGUGAGUAACACGUGGGUAACCUGCCCAUAAGACUGGGAUAACUCCGGGAAACCGGGGCUAAUACCGGAUAACAUUUUGAACCGCAUGGUUCGAAAUUGAAAGGCGGCUUCGGCUGUCACUUAUGGAUGGACCCGCGUCGCAUUAGCUAGUUGGUGAGGUAACGGCUCACCAAGGCAACGAUGCGUAGCCGACCUGGGAAGGUGAUCGGCAACACUGGGACUGAGACACGGCCCAGACUCCGACGGGAGGCAGCAGUAGGGAAUCUUCCGCAAUGGACGAAAGUCUGACGGAGCAACGCCGCGUGAGUGAUGAAGGCUUUCGGGUCGUAAAACUCUGUUGUUAGGGAAGAACAAGUGCUAGUUGAAUAAGCUGGCACCUUGACGGUACCUAACCAGAAAGCCACGGCUAACUACGUGCCAGCCGCCGCGGUAA